Molecule: ribosomal RNA, 251 nt
Filed under: uncultured prokaryote
Description: partial 16S ribosomal RNA
Rfam family: Bacterial small subunit ribosomal RNA
Source: RNAcentral
UACGGAGGAUGCAAGCGUUAUCCGGAUUUAUUGGGUUUAAAGGGUGCGCAGGUUGUUUGAUAAGUCAGUGGUGAAAGUCUGUCGCUUAACGGUAGGAUUGCCAUUGAUACUGUUAGACUUGUAUAUGGAUGAGGUAGGCGGAAUGUGUAGUGUAGCGGUGAAAUGCAUAGAUAUUACACAGAACACCGAUUGCGAAGGCAGCUUACUAAUCCAUCAUUGACGCUGAGGCACGAAAGCGUGGGGAUCAAACA